ACCCCACUCUCUCUCUCUCUCGUGCACGUAACCCACCUAACCCCUCUUUCCCUCCUCUCUCUCUCUCGGGAACCCUAGCGCUCCACUCCUCCCUUGCCGCCGCCACCUCCGGCGGGAAUCAAAGACCAUGUCCGGCGAGAUCUGGCGCGCGCAGUGAGAUCCAUCUCUCUCUCACACACGAGAAGGAAAAUCCCCCGCCCCAUUCCCACGACUGAUCUACCUCUCCCUCGAUCCCCUUCCUUCCCGAGGAUGCACGCGCCACCGCCUCCCCGAUCCCCUUCUCCCCUCGCCCCCCCACAUCACGCCGCCAUCCACCUCGUCGCCUCCCAGAUUCAUCCUCCUCCUCCUCCUAUUCCCCUCGUCAGAUCCAUCCAUCCAUUCAUUUUUCCAUCAGAUCCACCUGACGCCAUCGCAUCCCCUUCUCGCUCGCAGGGUUGCAGGCGAUUCGAUCUGGUCCGGGUCCAUGGCGUCCAAGGCCGUGGAGGCGCUACCAGUGACGGACGAGCUGGCCCUACCGCUCCGUGCGGGGGGGGGGGGGGGGGGGGGGGGGGGCGGCAGCGGGGAAGCACGCAGCUGCGCAGCGUCCGCGUGAGGUUUCAGUGAGCGGCCGCAUUGCUGCGGCAGGAGGACCAACGCGCGCUUCCGAAGACGAGGCUCCAUCGCGCGAACCAAGACACGGACUUGACAGGAUGGCUCUGCGGGACUCCAGCAUCAGAAGCAGCGGUUGGGGCCACGCGGUGACCCCGGGACGCCGCUGCCCGAUUCCGGCAUGAAGGCAACCUCGCGCAAAUCAUGGCGGCCUUGACCAAGAAGGAGGGGUCCGUGCCGCGCGGCGGACGGUGGUGAGCGUCGGUGCUGGCGAGUUUGGGUCAGUACGUCACGGCGGCGGCGAGCCUGCUCGGCGGCCCAUGAUUGGACCUUGGAGCCGCGCGAAGAGAAGGGGAUCCACUCCAAACCCAGGAUAGGACAAGGUGGCGAACUCACUGUUUGAGAAGAGGUCGAACCAGUUAGGCAUCGGCUGCGCGCUACCGCCCAAGAAGGACCUCCACCUGUUCGCCAGCGCCACAUACUCAAGCAGCGCAUCCGUGCCCAGCCGCGGUUGUUUUUGCCCAUUUAUGUUGUUGCUUUAGUAGCAUUCUUUCCUUUCUUUUAUGUAGAAGCAGAGCACCACUCUUACUAUGCACUUCUCUCCAGAUGCUGCUACAAUUACAAAUUUAAAAUGCAUUCAUGCAUGAGCAGUGCAUGUGUUGGCUGUCCAUGAGAUCAUGAAUAGUAUGAGCCGUAGAGUCUUGUUCGAACUCA
Non-coding RNA from Triticum urartu, 1302 nucleotides. The record is from RefSeq and is a predicted model, not a curated record. NCBI's taxonomy places the organism in Eukaryota, Viridiplantae, Streptophyta, Magnoliopsida, Poales, Poaceae.